This 1915-nucleotide unclassified non-coding RNA is filed under the name Zea mays. RNAcentral describes it as "misc RNA Zm00001eb090240". The record is from RNAcentral. Lineage: Eukaryota; Viridiplantae; Streptophyta; Magnoliopsida; Poales; Poaceae.
CUAGCCGCCACUCUCUCUUCUCCUUUUCUCUCCCACGCACGCACUCUCUCCUGUCUCCUCCCUCACGGCGGCAACAGCCACCAGGAAGCUCCUCCACGCCAUGGUUGUGGGCUCCCAUGGCGAGCAGCUUUCCUGCCCAUGGCGCCCUUCCUCCUCGGCUCAAUGGUGUGGCCGAGCAGCAGCCCCCAGCUCUCCUCUCUCCAUGGCGCAGGGAGCAGUUCCCCUGGCCGAGCUCCAUUCCAGCAGGGACGCCCAGGUCCCGACGGCCCCUGCGCAGCUCCUCCUCGCGGCCACCAUGGUGCUCGACGCCUCUCCCCUUCAAGUGCAGCAGCUCCAUUCCUCUCCUUCCCAUGGCGCCCCCAUUCCUUCCAUGGAAAAACCAGCAGCCACCCCUCUGUUGCUGCCGAGCUCCAGCUCCGGCCAGCAGCCAUGGCGCCGAGGAUUCCCUGCGCGCGAGCACAAGCCCCAUUUCUUCUACCUCUGUCCGCGCCCAGCAGCAUCCCUGCGCAGCGCCGCUGCUCCAUCUCCUCCCCAUAUUCCCCACCAAACAGCACCCGCAGCGAGUCGCCGUCGCCCAUGGCCGAGCCCCCUUCCUCCCCGGCCGCCUAGCACACUGUCCAGGGCGCCCAGAAAUCCCAGCAGCGAGCUCCACCGCCGACCUGCGCAGCAAGCUGCGCGCUGCAGCAGCAUGCCGUGUGUUCGCUGUUUUGCGCAGCCCCAUCCGCGACGCCGUCGAAACCCGUGCUAGCCGUCAAUCGCCAUUCGUCGCGCACGCGUGUUCGAUACAAGACCGGUCGGGUGCACCACGUGCUUGCACAAGUCAACUCCGAUCCCGUUCAGGACCGAGAGAUGGUGAUCGUGCACGUGAUAUGGUGCCAACCACAGGAUGCCGUUGGUGGACGACCCAAGGAAGGAUGGACUUAACCACUGGAUGCUAGCCAAGCGAGUACCCACCCCAGCAAACACUAUCUAAGUGUCAAAAUAAAGGUGGUGGACUUCCAGAUCGUACUUAGGGCUUUGUCCAAUUUCCUGGUGAAGGCAAGUAAAAUAGUGAUGGUUUAUACCGUUGGUCGAUUUAUGUGUCCUGUACUUGAUUCAUAUCCAUGUCAAAUGUGCUCAUCCUCAUAUUCCAUUUUGAGAAUUGUUAGUUGAAGUUAUUCAUGAUCUACUAUUUACAUAUGUUGAGGGUGUUGUUCGAGUAUGUUACACGUGUUGAUUAUUAUUUUGAAGUAGUGGAAGUAUAUAUUUAGCACAUGUUAGAUGGGGCGGUCUCAUGUUGGUGUCAUGCAUAGUGCAUCCAUCAUCCUUUGCAUGGAAGUUUCGUCGCGAUCAUAUGGUCCGACCGUACCGGUACAAUAAGCAUCAUAUGUUGCCCGAGGAGGGGUAUGAUGCAGCUUCAUAUCCUUAGAGGUAUGAAGACAGAAGUCAUUAUUGCAUUUGUAGCCAUGUGCACUCAUGGGUAAAACGUGGAACCUGUCAUGGUUAUUGUUGGGGGCCUUCAUUUUCCGAAGGUCCUCAAAAACACGACUAACAUGUUUUCCAAGUAUAAUAUGUGUACAGGAACCUUCGGACAUGGGAUGAAAUUGUACAAGAUAUGAAGGGCGCGGUUCGGGAGAAGGAUAAACCAGUGCCGAAGCUACCCGUGAAAAAGCUUCGGCUUAGCGAUGGAAAGUGAAACCGACUUAAAGGGGAAAAGGAUGUCUAGUCCUCGAUAGAUUAUCCCAAAGUCAAUAGUAAAUGUCAAGGGCAUGAAUGUAAUUCUACAUAGGCUACGUCCUGUGCCUAUAAAUAGAUGAACAGUGACACCGUACUGUUCACGCUGACUUGUAUUCACUCGCAUGUCACGCCCGGAUUUUUGCCUUCUGUCAAACCGAAGGUAUAAAUGUAACUCAAUAUUAUUCAUGAUGAUAUAAAA